CUGUGAACAACUCCCACUAGAAAUCUUGUACGUUUUAACACAUAGGACACUUUUUCAACACUCUUUCAAGUGAUGUCUUUAAAUGCACUGGAUAUAAAUUCAGGACAAGCAAGUCUCACCCUUUCUCCUCCCUCCUUCCUGACCUGCAAAUAAGUCGCCUCUUUGGGGGUGGCCUGUGCUGAGCUCGUUGGUGAGAUCUGCCUGGGAAGGAGCUUGCUGAAAGCCUUCACUGCAUGGGAGCGCAGUGCUGGAUGUCUGCUUUGGGAAAGCUGUCCUAGAAACCCGCUGGGCAUUCUUUUGUUAUAGAUGAACACUGUCCAUGCUAGAUUUUUCUCCUAUUGCUAGCUAUUUUUGGUGGUGGUGGAACUUCAUUACUGAUGGAGAGCUACUGGUGUUUUAAUCAGGGGCAUCUCAUUCUAAUCUCACUGCUGGUGAAAAGGGAUAAAAAGGAGACAUUUGAUCCAUCCUUCUAGCAAAGCAGAAUUCAAUACAGAGCCAGAGAGAUUGACAGACUGUGCCACACUAGCUCAGCUUUCAUUUAAAAAUAUGGACUUUUAGAGACAAAGCUACCUUAAGUAAUGCUAACAAAGUAAUUCAGAGAUGUCCACUUCAAUCUGCAGACAGAAGCACUGUUCUAAAAUCAGCAAGAAUCACAUCUGUUCAUCUCCCAUUUAUUGAACUUCAAGGGGAAACAACAGAAAUUAAGUGACCUAUACUGACGUGGCCUAGAAUGGACAAAUACUAUCACAUUGAUUUGCUUUGGAUGGACAAGCUGCAUCUGCCAACAUUGAGUUAUUGGGUCAACAACAGUUUUAACAUACUAUAGUUGUAGACAAGACAGUGCUUGCAGACGCAAUGAACUUUCAGUUUAAAUACAGAACACUUUCCAUAACUUGCAUGUAUGGCUUAAUAUUUUAAAUGUAAUUGGUUUAAGGCAGAGGCGUCAUAAAAGGCACCUGCAGAUUUUUCAGAGGAUAAGAAGCCCGUGGGGUUUGUACUGCAAUAGGGGCCUUUGGUGAGCCAAGCAGAUGAUUACCCUUGCUCUUCGUAGCCUAUUAUAGCAGUUACAAGUCUUCCCCAGACCUUCAUUAAUACUGUCUAUGUGCCUUCACAUCUUGUAACAUGUACCACAGCUAUCUUUUCAAGGCAGGAGCAAAACUUUAGUCUCCUAUGUAUAAAAUUUAUUUAAAUUUAAAGUAAUAUAAGCUUUAUCUCCAUAUAUUAUCCCAGUAUCUUGAAUUUCACACGUGUCAUUGAAACUACUGUUUUCACUGAAGAAAAUUCUGCCCCCAAAACAUUAAUCUGAGCAGAGACUGUAGGUUAGGCAACACCCCAGGGAAUCCCAGUGCAGCUGGAGUGGCUAAAACAUUGCUUUCUGUUGGAAAAGACUGAAGGACGGGCUUGCAAAGUCUGUGGAUUUCUGUGGAAAUCUUUUUUAAUGUGUAUCAACUGCCCUCCAGGACCUGAAAAUAUUGUUAACAAGUAAGUUUUAGAUAAUGUCUGAUAGCUUCUAUAAAAUUUGCAUUGCUCUACAAUCCCUAGUGAGCUUUUAGAUUUUAUAUUUAUAAUGUCAGAUGAGGUUUACUGAAAGAGAAAAAAUUGAAGCUGCUGACUAAAUAAAUAUAGCUAGAUGCCUAUGCACCUUUCUCUCGAUAGUACUGAUGCAAUGAAAAUUUGUCAGCAAAGAUGGUGUUUGCAGGUAUAGCAGACUUACAAAGAACUAGAAGGGUCUUAAACUGCCAUGAAUGGCUUUACCUUUGGGAAAAGAAAGACUUCUGUUUUUUAUAGGACCUUGUUUUUUCACAUGCCAUUCAGCAUAUGCUUAUGCAAUCAAAACUGGUCUUGUUUAUAUUUCUCAGUAUUUCAGGCCAGCAUUUUAUUUUCUUCCUCAGAGCUUUAGCUGAGCUGCUCUUGCUUGACUGCCUCUGAGCCUGCAUCUGAUUCCUGAGUGAAUGUGCUUUCAUACUGCUCAGAUAAAGGGCUUUCGCUGCAGUCGUGACUUGCAUGGGGUUGAAUAUUAUACCUUUCUUACGUCUAGAACUACAGAGAUGACGACAUGCUGAUUCAUCUAUGAAUAAUCAAAGUGAACUCUCAGACAGUCUCAAAAAUAGACUUUGCUCACUUCUGUUAACCCCCAAAUGCCUGAAUGAUACUGAGAUGUGGGGGAAAAAAAAAAAGUCAUAAUAUGUGCUGUGUAGGGAUGUACACAUGUACCAUAAAUAUAAGACACAAGAAUAGGGAGGGGCAUAGACGUUAGUUAACCAGAGCUUACAUGUCUCUUUGUUAAGGACACAGCCAGUUAGAGCUUUCAGCUGAACAGUUCAUCCUUUGAUUUCCAGUGCUGCUAUUUUGACUCACAACUCACUACUGAAUUAUAUGAAUCCAAUUUUGUAGUAUUAUUUUCUUAUUUAGACUACUUCACAUGCAUUAAAAUUGAAGAAAUUUUUCUUAAACUCCUUUAAUAAACUCUACUCUUUUCUUUGAAUAAAUAUUUUUUUUAACUGAAAUUAGAUGCUUGAGCAUUGUCCAAUGAGGACUGUGGGACAUUGGACACUUGCUAGCUUUUAUAGGGUAGGAGCCUAUGACAUGAUGCAGUAGAUGGGCGACUUGCAAACAGCUACAAAUCGAUUUUUCUCUCUCAGGCUACUGUCCCAACAGAAUAAGAUGAGCUUGAAUUGAAAGAUAUUUAUUUCUAUAAUGUUUUUAUUUCAGCAUCUACAACAGGGAAUAAACUUUCACAAUUUGUCUGGGAGACUGACAUGUGUCUUUUGCCUAAAAAUCUGCCUGGAGACAUUUUUUUUCCUGUAACUCCCAAGCAAUGAGUCUACAGAUUUGUCAGCAUCCAUAGUUUUAUGGAAAAAAGUUAUAUCAGGCAGCAUCUGGAAUUUACUGUUUAUGAAUUGGAAGUUUUUAUCAGUAUUUGAGCCUAAAAAAAGUUAGAUAUUUGGGGUGUCACCUUAAUUUUGUUAUUACUUCUCAGAUGAUUUAUCUCAUAUUCCUCUAAUGGUCGGCCAAAAUGAUCACUGUUACAAUUAGCUUUACAGUUUAGAAAAACAUCUUCCAUCCAAUAAUCGUUUAUAUUAGAUUAAAAAUGAGAAUUAAUGUCUUCUGAAGAACUUUGAAGUAAAGAACCGGUCUCUGUUUAAAAUGCAUGUUUCUGUGAGGCCUUUUGCAGUGCUGAUUUUUUGUUUGUUUUGCAGUUUACAGACAGUGAAAUAAGGUGACCUUCCAUCACACAGACUGUGAUGAAGCUUAGGGGUCGCCUUGGGCACUGAUAUCAACAACACCUCAAAUUAGUAACCUUAUUGUCUCUUUCAAAAUUAGGUCAUCUGAGAGCCAAGUCCUAGUUCAUGCCUUUAGGGAUAUUACAUACAGUAUAUUUCUAUACAAAAAGAUUUAAAUGGAACUCCUCAUCCAAUAUUUGAAGAAUAGACUCAGAUUAACAGAAAUCAAUUUUUCUACAAAUGCCAGGAAAGUGAAUUAUUACUUUUCAUGAAAUAAUAUAGCAUCUGGCUUAUGCUGAGAUUCCAUGCCGAGACCGUGUAUUGUCCCUGUAUACAUGAAAAAAAUACAAAAUGACUUGCUGACCUCGGCUUUGUAUUUAAUAGCCAUGUGACAUAUUCCAUGAAUACUAGCAUGUGUAAAGGAUCAUGUUAUUAUAUACAGCUGUUAAAGACCUCGAAAGCAAACAAUGUGCUACUGACAUAUAAAUAAUACCUUCUGUGCACAGUUAAACAUUGGUGCUAUUUUUGCCAGAUUUUGAGCUCUUUUGAGGCCAACUGGAACAGCUGAAAUAGAACAUUAAAAAAAAAAUGUUUUGAUGCUGGGGCACAGAUGGCGGUAGCCCAAUGUGUCAAAAUAAAUGUUUCAUUUUUGCUGUAAUGUGGGAAAAAUAGACCUUGUCAAUUACUCCAAUAAUCGUAGGUGCAAUAAAUACACUCUGUAGCUAAGAAGAGCUAUUUCAGAUGGGCAUUCAGAGAAAUUCUAUGUAUCCUACUUCCAACAGCCUGGAAAGGUAAAUUACUUUAGGCCAAUGACUUACUGCUUUUGAAAGGGCUCUAACAGCUGCAAUCAAGCCUGGAGCUUUAAUCCUUUAUUUGGCACGUGUAUUUCACAAACACAUGAUUGCUCCUUCUGAGAGACAGUCUGAGAAGGUGCUGCAGACAAUGGGUCUGUUAACUUUAAAUCAAUGACAUCCAUAUGUUUAGGAAAUUUAGAACGGCUUGAACAGACUUCAGUGCUUACAUGUUAGUCCACAUUUUUCUAGAAGGCUGUGAUGGCAAGCAGAAUAAACAGGAGAUCAAUCAAAUGUAGGCAAGUUUUUUUUCACUGCUAACAUCUAUGCAGACAUUACAUAUCACUGGCAUUGAAUGGCCACAUCAAGCUGGAUGUGUGGCUCACUGGUGUGUGGCUCAUUCUAUUGCGCUUGUAAGCAACGUUUACCUUUUGAAAAGGAGCAAUCCACCAAGAGACACCAAUAAAAUGGUAAAGUGCUCUGAGGAGGAAAUUCAAAUAACCCAGAAAUAACAGAGUAUGGGAGAAGAUACCAGCUAGUUAGGAGUCAACAUUUAACAUGGCUUCGGCUGUCAAUAUUCUGCACCACUUGGUCAUAACUACAACACAGGGCUUUGUCUGUAAAAUGGAGCAAAGUUACAAAGAGUGAACGCUAAUCCUUAUACUAUAGCACAACAGUAAAAUGAUUCAUGUUCUCUUACCCAAUCUUUUACUUCCCAUGUGAAAUUUAAAUCUGCUCCAGCUGGUACAAUAAUAAUUCUCACAGUCUGCAUGGCCAGUCGGGGCAGGGGGAGGGAGGAGAAGAAAGCAAAGCAAAGCCAAGCUGAGCAGAUUUACAACUGCAUAUGGAAGGCAUCUCUCAUUUUCCCGAGACUGUGCACUUCCAGGUAGCUCCACAGCUUGCCGUUGCAGAACUGUGGCUUUGUAUUUUGUCAUCUGCAGUGAGACUGCUACACUUCUGCUGAAGAGGUUUUUCCCUGGGCACUGCAGCACAGAAGGCAAUGUAUAGUUUUGGGUUGUAGGGGAUCUGCAAAGACUGAGAAGCCUGUGAAUACUAUUGCAGUAUUCAUUGUCUUAAUCUAAACCACCUAAUUUCUUUCAUGCCCUUUUUAACCUGCUUACAACAUUCCGUGUACCUCAGAACAAUACUUUUCAGUGGGGUUAAUUCUAUUUUCUAGAAAAAAAAAAUAUAUUUGGACCAAAAUAAGUUACUUUGAAAGAACCACUAAAGCUGUUUCUCUGCUUGAGGAUGAAGUGCUCAGUGUGGGUUUUAUAUGGGUAGCCCAGGAGAGAGGAGUAAGAAGAAGGGGAAUAUGGUGCACACAAGAGGUAAAGGCCAAAAUUGUGAACCUGUAGGCUGAAUUUUAGGUUUAAAAAAUAUUUUUCAUGAGCAUAAACCCAGGAUGAUAACUAAAACUCUGACCCAGAAAGACAUAUCGGAGAGUAAGAAGGUCUGUGAAGUUUACUUCCUACAUUCAAAGGUCCAGGGUGAGGAGGGACAGAAAGCAGUCAAGAGUAGAAGACACCCUGAUUCCUCAGGAUUGCGAGAAGGACAUUCUCCAAAGGGGUGAAAAUUAUUGAAGUGCUUCAACUUCAGGUUGUUGUGACAGCUGGCAUGCAACUGCAGCCACAGAAUCAAUUCUGUGUACAUUCUGCUUUAAUUACAGAUGGAUAAAUUAGGGUCAGCAAGAAAUGAAGCAGCAGACAAUGACUGGUAAAUGACCCAAAUAAACUAAGCCAACAAGAAAAUUUCUAAAGAGAGACAUGUUAGAGCCACAGAAUUUGCUAGAGGCAUAGAGAAGUUGUUGAGCGGGUUGUCAGCAUCCCUGAAGUUAUUAUAGACAAUUCUAAAGUUAAGGUUGAGCAAUUCAACCUCUCUUAUGUAUGAGAAACACAGCACUUACUCAAGAAAAUUGCAGCACUUAUUCUGAGUACAGAAUUCAAUUUCCAAGGAUUAAUAAGUAAACACCUUAAUUAAUGUAUGACUUUAAAAUAAUUAAAAUAAGUCCUUUAAGAGAUUUAACAUCUUUUUCAGUCUUUUAUUUGUCCUGAAUGAUCUUCAGAAUAAUAAUUAUGCAAGCGUUUCAUAUUUGCAAUCUUCCACACCAGCCACAGUCAAAAGAGUGGUUAUAAUUAAAUUAAAUUAUUAAUGAUUUCUGCCUCUAAUUGUUAUAACUAGACAGACUUCAGUCUGACUUAUUUAACUCUUAACUAGAGAAACUCAUCAAUAUCUUAUGGUUUAUAGGGGAAUUUCCAUUUGUGAACUACAUGCAUCUGAAAUAUUUUGAAUUUGAACCAUAUCUAGAAAUAUCACAUAAUAGUUUGCUUUGCUUGUAAAUCAAGAUAUUUCCAAGCAAGAGAAAUUUUUAAAAGGAAUUUAAAUUUGCUAGUUCAUAUCAGGGAUGUAAUAAAGGGUCUAAUUUUGUCCAGCCUGUGCAUAAUUGUGUUAAAAAUAUCACUAUUAUGAAUCUCGUGCUUCUCUCAGACUAAUUUUACAAGUGGCAACUUCCCGUACCUCUGGAGAGAUACUCAAUAAUGCAAGUGAAAGAGCAAUUACAGGUACCAAAAAAGCUUCUGAGGUUUUAAACGGUUCAUUCCUUUUCUGCAGGGUUGGAAUACCUGCAACACUUAGAAAAUUGUAGGUUUCAUUUAAAACCAGUAGGAAAUAGUAGCAAAUACAAGCAAUAGUUCAGAUUAGAAGGCAUAUUCUGAAAACAAGGGUGGUGUACUCAAAACAGAGGGAGGUAGUAACAAGCACUAAACUGAUCUCUCUAAUAUUCUCCACGGUUCAUUUAUAUGUGUGUGUGAGUAUGUGUGUGUAUCUCCACACAUACAAAUUAUAUAUAUGUGUACACAUGCAUAUAUAUAUAGUUCAGAGCUAUAUAACUCCUAAGUGCCAGUGAAAGGAAAAAUCAGCUCUCUGGUUUCACCAGUCUUUUCAGGUCAGCUUCAUCCUCUUGCGAGUGCCAACACUGAGGCUCUUUCCAGAAAGGACUCACUUCAGGAAGAGACCAUCUGGAUGCUGUCUGAGCCACACAGAGCAGAGCGUGAGAGGGAGAGUAAAAACCAAGAAAUAGCAAGAAGCUUUGGGUGCAACACAGAAGUGGAAAAUGAAGAACUCAGUCAAGAGCCUUAAAAGAGAAAUAAGAAAUGAUACUUCCUGGUAGAUUUGCACAACACUGGUGGCUCUGAGGAAUGUUAGGGGAGAAUGAUCCCAAGCUGGCUCUGCUGCUUAUGUUCCAGUUAUCAUAAACAAUCAGUUAUCAGGCAAAUAAAAUAAUUACUGUGAGAAAGAGCAGAAAUUGCUCCAAUCACUUUGCUGCAGGUCUAUAAUCAGAACAACUCUUCCUAUAUGGGGAUGUUUCACAAAAAUAAUAUAGAAAAACAAGCAGAGCUAUGUGCUGCAUAGCAGAAGCAUUUUCAGAAAGGAAGAAUAAAGAGGACACUGCGGAUGCCUGGCACUGAAGUUACACAACAUGCCUGAGAAAGGACAUGGGCGAUCAUACCACAGGACCCAGCAGGCUGCAGCAGGCAGGAGAAAUGGAGAGGGUGGAGGAACUGCAGCUUAAUUAUCUCACUAGAUAAAUUCACAUCUAGCAGGAGAGUGAAAAAGACAGCAAAUAGCAUUUCAGAUCACAGCCAUGACACUACCCUGUCAGCACAAGACCUGGGGCUGUCAGGUAAGCUGAGGUCAGCACUGAACCUGUGCUGCCUUCCCAGAAGGACAAGAAAAAGUAAGUGGAGUAACAGCAACGUGACUGAGUGCACAAACCAAAGUCAGACAAUGAAAAAUAGGAGGAUAUGAGAAGAACCACUGUGCAUGAGGCUGAAAAGAGAAAAAAAGGAAGAUCUCCCAACAGAGCCCAGGAAUUAUUUCAUCCUGCUCAUCACAGUUCGAGGUGCACAGAUGUGCAUAGGUACAAAAGCUGUGACUUUGUACAAAAUCAGGUCUGUCUCAACCUAGAAAAUGCCACUCUUUGUGUAGUCAAUUAGGAUCCUAACACAUGGCUGCUAUAGCUUUGUUUCCAACAGACUAAAGGUUAAAUCAUUUUACAUCAAGAUCAAGUAAGCGUACCAAACAUGGAAGAUGCAACUUUGAACCUAGAAGCUGGAACAAAGUUGUGGGAAACUUUAGAGAUCCUCAAUUUUUCUACUAUGGGAAAUUUGAAAUCUGUAAUUAUUUUAACAGUUUUACCAGGGAGAUGGGAAAAUAGAAGUUUAUAAAGAAUGUAUUCUAGUAUGGGCAACACCCUGGGAAGUUUGCAAAGAAGGAAUUCAAUAAGAAACAGCAAAUUCUUAAUGCUGCUCGAAGUAUGGCCAUUAGGUGCUAGGGAGAAGAUAAGGAAGAAUUUGAUUUAAUGCAGAGUGUUAUAGGACAUACUGAUAACAUCUAGUUAAGCAAGCACCACUGUGGUUUUAGUCAGAGAUUAAUGGAGCUCUUCAUUUAAAGGAGUAACCAAGAAUUUGAUUAUGUUGCAGAGUAUAAAGAUUUUCCAUUCAAAUAUACAGUUUACAACCUAGCAUCAUAAAUGUUAAAAUGGCACUUAGAAUGAACAGCGCCAUGAAGGCCAAAGUCAAGGUGUUUGAGUACAGUGCAGUUUCCUAGGUUCUACAUAGGCAGGCUGAGAAACUGUCCUUUCUAUUCACCUCUACACUACCUAUCUGAAAGUAGGAUUUUUGUGAGGCUAAGUCUACUGAACAUCAAAUAGAAUGUAAACUGCAUGAAAAAUUCUACCCUGUAGUUCCUAUAGCACCAAGGUCAAAAAAUUGUGUUUGAAGUGAAAUGUAUUUCUGAAAGACACGCUCUCUUGAGUAAAAAAUUUCAACUUACUAUAUCACUAAGGAAUUGUUGUGAAGUUAAUUACUUUUGCAGAUUAAAGGGCAAGUCCUAUUUUCAGUUUUCAGAUCCUAAUCACUGGAUUUUUCAUACCUUUGCUGCUAGAUUAAAGAACCUUCUGUAUGGUAGUUUCUGCCCAUAUAGGUACCUGUGGACAGUGAUCAAAUCACUUUACUUAUUUUCCUCCUCUUUUACUCCACAACUUGAACAUAUUACAUGCCUUUAGCUUGAAGCAUAUUUCCAGUUUUCAGCUUGUCUUCAAGGCUACUGUCCAAACAUUAUUCAAUCUUUUGGCAUCCUCUCUGAGUGAACAUCACAACAGGAGCAGGCUCACCUGUGCAGCCCUCUUAGUCCUGAUCAAUUCACUCCUUUACCACAGGGCUUGCGGUCACUGCCAUGCUCACACCAUUUCAUCAGGUACUUGUGCUCAUUCAACUAGCCAUCACAACACCCUCCUUCCUCCUCUUUAUGCUCCAUUUCUCUUUCAUUCCCACCUACUCUUCCUCCAGGUCUUUCCCACUGUGGAUGCAUACUGGGACAUGGGACCCCAUGCUAUGACAGAAAGCCUCCGUUUAAUGAGGUUUGCAGUUUGUCAGUUUUCAGAUUAGAAUGUGCCUUUUCUGUUCACUAUGCAUUCAACCCAGCCCCCAUGGAAACCGAUGGAAAGGUUCCUGCCUGUAAUUUCAACUCUACAGCUUAUUGCUCUAGAAUGAAAAAGUUCGACUAAAGACUGCAUAAAUUAAACAUCUCCUUGCACCUAGCAGUGAUUACACAAGGAAGGAAAGCCUGUGCUGAGCUGUUCAAAAUGCCGCUUUCUUGGUCUUUUUCAUUGCUUCACUGAUUUAAAUUCAAACCUCCUUAUAUCCUACAUAAAAAAUAUUAUUUUUUACUUUGUCUAUGUAAAAGAACUUCUGCUAAAGAUUUUUUAUCCUACAGCCCCAGGGCCUUUGAAAUCAUAUCCUAUAUGUUUUGUCUUUAUCAGCAGUUUCCCUGCAUCAAUCUACAAUGAACUACGUAAGCCACUUAUACCAGAGACUGUUCAAAUAAUUUUGAAUUUGAUUGACAUAUUCUGAUCUCCCUGGUUUUGUUAAGCAAGCUGAACCUUAAUAACACACUGAGAAGAUGAACGGGCUAAUGAAGCACAUUGCAUGAUCUGGAAUAAUUCCCUUACAGGUGAAGUUCUGAACCGCUGACAGCAAGAGGAUUAUUAUUUUUUUUAUUAUUAUUAUUAUUUUUUUUUCCAGUUUUCCAUGGUUACUUUUCACUCUUGGUGCAAUGCUCUGUUAUGCAGCUGUCUGGCUCUGUGUUAGCUACGUACUGAAGAAAAGUAAUGUCUCAUUGUAAUACUGAUUAUUAGCUUUCUGUGUAAUUAAAAAAGAAACUUUCCCUCUUUUCACUUCAACAUUACAAAAACAUUUUAAGUGCAUGUCUACAAUGAAUGGAUCCUUAGUCUAAAACAGUCCACCAGUGUAUCAAAGGAUGAAGAAAAUAUUUCCACAUUACAACUGUGUACAUCUUAUUUUAACCCAGGGGAAAAGCAUUGUGGGUAAACUGUAGUUACUUUCAAUGUACUAUAGCCUUUGACUGUAUGUCACGUUGCUUGUGCUGUGCUGUCAGGUGGAAUACAACAUUGUUAUAAUGCUAGAAUUAAGGCUUCUGUACUAACUCAGAAUGGCUGGGGGUUUGUUUUGUUUAUUUUGCAGCACUUAAACCAUUCCCUUUAC
Columba livia (rock pigeon) is the source of this 10575-nucleotide long non-coding RNA. RefSeq lists it as uncharacterized. Lineage: Eukaryota; Metazoa; Chordata; Aves; Columbiformes; Columbidae. The transcript is spliced from 3 exons. The record is from RefSeq and is a predicted model, not a curated record.